GACGAACGCUGGCGGCGCGCCUAACACAUGCAAGUCGAACGGAGCGCACUGUGUGAAGCUCUUCGGAGUGGAACUUUGUGUUGCUUAGUGGCGAACGGGUGAGUAACACGUGAGUAACCUGCCCUUGAGUGGGGGACAACAUUUGGAAACAGAUGCUAAUACCGCAUAAGACCACGGUACCGCAUGGUACUGGGGCCAAAGGAGCAAUUCGCUUAAGGAUGGACUCGCGUCUGAUUAGCUAGUUGGUGAGGUAAUGGCUCACCAAGGCAACGAUCAGUAGCCGGACUGAGAGGUUGAACGGCCACAUUGGGACUGAGACACGGCCCAGACUCCUACGGGAGGCAGCAGUGGGGAAUAUUGCACAAUGGACGAAAGUCUGAUGCAGCGACGCCGCGUGGAGGAAGAAGGUUUUCGGAUUGUAAACUCCUGUCUUCGGGGACGAUAAUGACGGUACCCGAGGAGGAAGCCACGGCUAACUACGUGCCAGCCGCCGCAGUAAAAC
This 502-nucleotide ribosomal RNA is filed under the name uncultured bacterium. RNAcentral describes it as "bacterial SSU rRNA". It matches the Rfam family "Bacterial small subunit ribosomal RNA", at positions 28 to 526 of the family's 1533-position model. The record is from RNAcentral.